UACAGAGGUCUCGAGCGUUGUUCGGAUUCAUUGGGCGUAAAGGGUGCGUAGGCGGCGGGGUAAGUCUGAUGUGAAAUCCCGGGGCUCAACUCCGGAACUGCAUUGGAUACUGCCUUGCUUGAGAGCUGGAGAGGAAACUGGAAUUUACGGUGUAGCAGUGAAAUGCGUAGAGAUCGUAAGGAAGACCAGUGGCGAAGGCGAGUUUCUGGACAGCUACUGACGCUGAGGCACGAAGGCCAGGGGAGCAAACGGG
Molecule: ribosomal RNA, 253 nt
Filed under: uncultured bacterium
Lineage: Bacteria
Description: partial 16S ribosomal RNA
Rfam family: Bacterial small subunit ribosomal RNA
Source: RNAcentral